GAUGAAGAACGUAGCGAAAUGCGAUAAGUAAUGUGAAUUGCAGAAUUCAGUGAAUCAUCGAAUCUUUGAACGCACAUUGCGCCCCUUGGUAUUCCAUGGGGCAUGCCUGUUCGAGCGUCAUUUGUACCUUCAGGCUCUGCUUGGUGUUGGGUGUUUGUCUCGCCUCUGCGCGUAGACUCGCCUCAAAACAAUUGGCAGCCGGCGUAUUGAUUUCGGAGCGCAGUACAUCUCGCGCUUUGCACUCAUAACGACGACGUCCAAAAGUACAUUUUUACACUCUUGACCUCGGAUCAGGUAGGGAUACCCGCUGAACUUAAGCAUAUCAAUAAGCGGAGGA
This 337-nucleotide unclassified non-coding RNA is filed under the name soil metagenome. RNAcentral describes it as "partial contains 5.8S ribosomal RNA, internal transcribed spacer 2, and large subunit ribosomal RNA". The stretch from base 1 to 120 matches the Rfam family "5.8S ribosomal RNA", at positions 35 to 154 of the family's 154-position model. The record is from RNAcentral.